This 431-nucleotide ribosomal RNA is filed under the name uncultured bacterium. Its description in RNAcentral is "bacterial SSU rRNA". It matches the Rfam family "Bacterial small subunit ribosomal RNA", at positions 340 to 786 of the family's 1533-position model. The record is from RNAcentral.
UACGGAAGGCAGCAGGGGGAAUAUUGGACAAUGGGCGCAAGCCUGAUCCAGCCAUGCCGCGUGAGUGAUGAAGGCCUUAGGGUUGUAAAGCUCUUUUGUCCGGGACGAUAAUGACGGUACCGGAAGAAUAAGCCCCGGCUAACUUCGUGCCAGCAGCCGCGGUAAUACGAAGGGGCUAGCGUUGCUCGGAAUCACUGGGCGUAAAGGGCGCGUAGGCGGCCAUUUAAGUCGGGGUGAAAGCCUGUGGCUCAACCACAGAAUUGCCUUCGAUACCUGGAUGGCUUGAGUUCGGUAGAGGUUGGUGGAACUGCGAGUGUAGAGGUGGAAAUUCGUAGAUAUUCGCAAGAACACCGGUGGCGAAGGCGGCCAACUGGACCGACACCUGACGCUGACGGCGCGAAAGCGUGGGGAGCAAACAGGGAUUAGAUACC